This 254-nucleotide ribosomal RNA is filed under the name uncultured bacterium. Its description in RNAcentral is "partial 16S ribosomal RNA". It matches the Rfam family "Bacterial small subunit ribosomal RNA", at positions 524 to 776 of the family's 1533-position model. The record is from RNAcentral.
UACGUAGGUGGCAAGCGUUGUCCGGAUUUAUUGGGUUUAAAGGGUGCGUAGGCGGCUUGAUAAGUCAGUGGUGAAAGCCGAUCGCUUAACGAUCGAACUGCCAUUGAUACUGCCAGGCUUGAGUAUAGUUGAGGUAGGCGGAAUUGACAGUGUAGCGGUGAAAUGCAUAGAUAUUGUCAAGAACACCAAUUGCGAAGGCAGCUUACUAAAGUAUAACUGACGCUGAGGCACGAAAAGUGCGGGGAUCAAACAGG